AUUCCAGCUCCAAUAGCGUAUACUAAAGUUGUUGCAGUUAAAAAGCUCGUAGUUGAAUUUCUGGUCUUGGACAGCGGUCUGCCUCAAACGAGGUACGCACCAUCCAUCCGAGUCCAUCCUCGGGGAAAACAUGUCUGUGAUUCAGUUCAUGGGCAUGGGAUCCUCGUCAUUUACUGUGAGCAAAAUAGAGUGUUCAAAGCAGGCUUAUGCCGUUGAAUAUUUUAGCAUGGAAUAAUAAGAUAAGACCUUGGUCUAUUUUGUUGGUUUGUACUCCAAGGUAAUGAUUAAUAGGGACAGUUGGGGGUAUUCGUAUUCAAUUGUCAGAGGUGAAAUUCUUGGAUUUAUUGAAGACGAACUACUGCGAAAGCAUUUACCAAGGAUGUUUUCAUUA
Molecule: ribosomal RNA, 391 nt
Filed under: Chrysophyceae sp.
Lineage: Eukaryota; Chrysophyceae
Description: partial small subunit ribosomal RNA
Rfam family: Eukaryotic small subunit ribosomal RNA
Source: RNAcentral